Molecule: non-coding RNA, 1794 nt
Organism: Elaeis guineensis (African oil palm)
Lineage: Eukaryota; Viridiplantae; Streptophyta; Magnoliopsida; Arecales; Arecaceae
Source: RefSeq, a predicted model, not a curated record
AUCCAAUAAAUCCACCGUUGCGAUCCAACAAAAUUGAGUCCAUCGUUCUGUAGGUCUCGUCUGCUUUCUCGAUCCUCCUCCUCCUUCUACCUCCACCAUCGGGCUUCUAGAAGUCCCCUGAAGACCUUCUACUGCCUUAAAUAUCCUUAUGUAUGCCAUCGAAACCCGAUAUAAACUGACUCCAAGCGCCAUUUCCAUUCCAAAAUGGAUACCAAAACUAAGCAUGAGGACUCGCUUCCUUGCCACCGACUACUUCGCCUCCCAUUCCUGGAUCAAAACCCUGAGAGACUUUCAAUUCCUCCCCCUUCCGCUGCAAAAUCUCCUCCCUUUUGAUCCUCCUCUAGGCGUCGAGAUCCCUUUCUUCGAUCUCGAUCUUCGCUUUCCUUCCAAAAUCUAUGGAUUUUCGAUCGAGAAUGCUCUCUCUCAGUUCCUCUCGGAUGUUGUCCCUUGGUUUGUUCAUGCUGGAGAGGGAACCUCCAUUGAUUCCAGCUCUCGGAACAGAAAGCUGGAGUGAUUUAGGUCUGGAUCGGCCGAGAUCGGCGUAUCUGAGAGAAGAGAUGAUGACUCUUAGGAGGAAGAGAACCGGGAGAGUUGGGAGUGCUCCGACGCUGGAGCAGAUGCUGUUGAUGUAUUAAAUCAGCAAGUAGUGGAUUUUCUUCAUGAAGAGAAGAUAGUAGAGAAGUGUUCAGAUUCUGUCACUAAAACUCCAGUGGUUUGCGGCAUAUUUCGAUCUUAUGGAGUAGAAAGUGAUGAUUUCUUCUUCUUUGUCCUUGUACUAUCUAGGAAAACUCUUCAUUUUUUUGUUGUAUAGAGCCAGAGGAGCAAAUUGCAGAAGGAAUUAUGGUUUGAAAUAGUGGAAAUGGAACCCCCCUGAGAGAAACUAUGAGCUCCUGUGAAGCAGAGGAAGCUGGAUUCUGCUUUGAACUUCCAAAUAUUAAAAUUCUUCUGGACAAUCAUGCUUAUUGCAGAGGGCGUACCGAUGAGUCAUCAUCAUCUAUGGAGUGCAGUCGCAUCGAGGCCCAGGUGUUCACUGAGCUUAUAGGACUAGAGCAUUAUGGCAGAGUGAGGAGUUAUGGAAUUGGAGUCACUCCCACUCAGUUGUCUGCAAUGUGCAGAUAUACUCAGGAGUGUAGACAGAACAACAGUAUUGCAGAGGUCUAUAAGCUAGAAAUAUAGAUACAGGAGAUGAGUCAGUGACAUGAUCUACAUAUAGAGAAGUUAAAGCAAAGCUAUCAGACAGAGAUAGUGUCAUUGAGGACUUAGGUAGAUCAGAUUACAUCUUUUUUACAUGGUUUUCUCCCGCAUCAGGUAAUUAGUUACGUAUAAUUUCUGGAUUUUAUAUUAUUUUCAUGUAUAUCUUUAUUGUAUAGGCUUUAUGAGUUGUAUGUACUGAUUUCUCUAUUCUUUACUUAGUAAGCUUUUUUUUGCUCCUUACAGGAUCCCGAUACUUUCAGUAGUCAUCAAGAUGAUGAUACCAUGCACAAGUGAUAGCCUUCUCUUUUCUUUUCAGUAUGGGUUCUACUUGAAUUCCCUCUUGUUCAGUUUGAGCUUUUAGUUUAGGGCUUAUAGUUUUGGUUUCAUUGGUUAUGGAUUCUUUCGGGUGUAGCUAAUUUUGGUGUUAUGGUGUCCUUUCCAUUAAUUGAUAUGUUAUGCUGCAAAAUUAUGACCUAAUCCAGGUCUGGUCAUUAUGGAUAUGGUGGUUUUGUGAUGAUUGACUAACAGAUAUCAUUUUAAGAGCAUAUCUUUCUCUUAUGAACUUCAAACUUAAUGAAAUGGGUUUUAUUUUAUUUACUU